RNAcentral lists this ribosomal RNA (533 nucleotides) under uncultured archaeon. RNAcentral's name for it is "bacterial SSU rRNA". It matches the Rfam family "Archaeal small subunit ribosomal RNA", at positions 325 to 859 of the family's 1478-position model. The record is from RNAcentral.
ACGGGGUGCAGCAGGCGAGAAAACUUUGCAAUGUGCGAAAGCACGACAAGGUUAAUCCGAGUGGUUUCUGCUAAAGGAACCUUUUGACAGUCCUAGAAACACUGUUGAAUAAGGGGUGGGCAAGUUCUGGUGUCAGCCGCCGCGGUAAAACCAGCACCUCAAGUGGUCAGGAUGAUUAUUGGGCCUAAAGCAUCCGUAGCCGGCUCUGUUAGUUUUCGGUUAAAUCUGUACGCUCAACGUACAGGCUGCCGGGAAUACUGCAGAGCUAGGGAGUGGGAGAGGUAGACGGUACUCGGUAGGAAGGGGUAAAAUCCUUUGAUCUAUUGAUGACCACCUGUGGCGAAGGCGGUCUACCAGAACACGUCCGACGGUGAGGGAUGAAAGCUGGGGGAGCAAACCGGAUUAGAUACCCGGGUAGUCCCAGCUGUAAACUAUGCAAACUCAGUGAUGCAUUGGCUUGUGGCCAAUGCAGUGCUGCAGGGAAGCCGUUAAGUUUGCCGCCUGGGAAGUACGUACGCAAGUAUGAAACUUAA